UUUUUUUUUUGUUUUUUUUGUUUUUUUUGUUUUUUUAGGGCCGCACCCUCGGCACAUAGAGGUUCCCAGACUAGGGGUUGAAUCGGAGCUGCAGCUGCCGGCCUACACCACGGCCACAGCCACGCCAGAUCCAAGCCGCGUCUGUGACCUACACCACAGCUCAUGGCAAUGCCGGAUCCUUAACCCACUGAGCCACAAUGGGAACUCCAAGUUUAGCCUUUCAUCGCAUUUGCCACUUCUUUGGCCAUCGGUGCCUACCUGCAGAUCUGAGGUGUCAUCUGAGGUCAUUUCUCCUCACCUUAAGCAACUUACCUUAGCACUCCCUAGGCUGAGAGCCGCUUGCAACACAUUUUCUCAAUUGUCGCUUAUGGAAAAUAUCUUUGGAGUUCCUGCUGUGGCUCAGGGGGUUAAGAACCCGACAAGUAUUCAUGAGGAUGCAGGUUUGAUCCCUGGCUUUGCGCCCUGGGUUAAGGAUCCAGCAUUGCUGCAAACUGUGGUGUGGGUCGCAGAUGCAGCUCGGAUCUGGCGUGGCUGUGGCUGUGGCCGUGGCUGUGGCCAGCAGCUGCAGCUCCGAUUUGACCCCUAGCCUGGGAGUUUCCAUGGUCACAAGUGCGGCCUUAAAAAUGAGAGGAAAAAAAAAAAAAGAAAAAGAAAGACAGAAGGAAAGCGAAAGAAAGAACGAAUUUUUAUUUUGCCUUAGCUUUGAGGAUUUGCUGGAUCUAGAGUUCUUGUUUGACAGUUUUAAUUUCAGCGCUUUGGAGAUAUGUUCCAAAGUCUUCUGCCUUCUGGCUUCUGUUGAGCAGUCGGCCGCCCGUGGUCCACAUAGCCUGGUUUUCCCUCCCUGCCUUCAAGGGCCCCCCCUUCUCUUCGGCUUUCAGUUGGGUUACGAUGUUCCUGGGAGUGGAUUCCAUUGUUUUCAUCCUGCUUUAGCUUCCCUGAGAUCUUGGCUCUUUAAUGCUUCCCACAAAAUUCGAGGUGGUUUUAGCAUCAUUUCUUCAAAUAUGUCACCUAUCCCUUUCUCGGUUCCCUCUCCUUUGGGGACAGUCACAUAACCAUUGGCUGCUUCACUGCUCCACGGAGCUGAGGCUGCUCAUUUCUCCAAAGUCUUUUCCUCUCCACUUUUGGGGGCUAUUUGAUUUCUGCUCUCUAUCUUGAAGUUCACUAAUUCUAUCUUUUUUUUUUUUUUUUGUCUUUUUUUUUUUUUUGCCUUUUCUAGGGCUGCUCCUGUGGCAUAUGGAGGUUCCCAGGUUAGGGGUCUAAUUGAAGCUGUAGCCACCAGCCUAUACCACAGCCACAGCAACAUGGGAUCUGAGCCAUGUCUGUGACCUACACCACAGCUCACGGCAACACCGGAUCCUUAACCCACUGAGCAAGGGCAGGGAUCGAACCCACAACCUCAUGGUUCCUAGUUGGACUCAUUAACCACUGCGCCACGAUGGGAACUCCUGAAGUUCACUAAUUCUCUAAAUCUGCUGUUCAAACCACCUAAAAAACCCCCACAAAUUUUUCACUUCAGUUUUCAUACUGUUCAGCUCUAGAAAUCCCAUUUUUAGCUGUUUUUAAUGUUUGUGUUUCCUCAUUUGUCCACUCAUUAACAUAAUUACACCUUAAUUAUUAAUACAUAUUGAUAAUAGGUGCUUUGAAGUCUUCGCUAAAUUCAACAUCCAUAUCCACUAGGAGUCAGUUUCUAUGGACUUAAAGAAAAAAAAACUGGUCAUGAACCAUAUCUUCCCAAUUCUUCGCAUGUCUCCUAAUUUUUGGUUGAAAAUUAGACUUUUUUUUUUUUGCCUUUUCUUGAGCCGCCGCUCCCAGGCUACGGGUGCAGCCCUAACAAGGAAAAGAAAAAAAAGGUAACAUACCGUAGUGCAUCGGGAUACUGUUGUGUUCUCAGGAUGACUGUUUCGUGUUGUUACUGUUGUAGCGGGAGGGGAUCCAUGAACCCUGUCUCCCGCUGCAGGUGCAAUAGCUGGAUCUCU
RNAcentral lists this long non-coding RNA (1976 nucleotides) under Sus scrofa (pig). RNAcentral's name for it is "lncRNA (ENSSSCG00065026356.1)". Lineage: Eukaryota; Metazoa; Chordata; Mammalia; Artiodactyla; Suidae. The record is from RNAcentral.